This 254-nucleotide ribosomal RNA is filed under the name uncultured bacterium. Its description in RNAcentral is "partial 16S ribosomal RNA". It matches the Rfam family "Bacterial small subunit ribosomal RNA", at positions 524 to 776 of the family's 1533-position model. The record is from RNAcentral.
UACGGAGGGUGCGAGCGUUGUCCGGAAUCAUUGGGCGUAAAGGGCGCGUAGGUGGCCCGGUCAGUCUUUGGUGAAAGCGCGGGGCUCAACCCUGCGUCGGCCAGGGAUACUGCCGCGGCUCGAGCACUGUAGAGGCAGGCGGAAUUCCGGGUGUAGCGGUGGAAUGCGUAGAGAUCCGGAAGAACACCGGUGGCGAAGGCGGUCUGCUGGGCAGUUGCUGACACUGAGGCGCGACAGCGUGGGGAGCAAACAGG